UACGAAGGGGGCGAGCGUUGUUCGGAUUUACUGGGCGUAAAGGGUGCGUAGGCGGCCGUGCAAGUCUGGCGUGAAAGCCCCGGGCUCAGCCCGGGAAGUGCGCUCGAAACUGCGCGGCUCGAGUGCCGGAGGGGAGAGUGGAAUUCCUGGUGUAGCGGUGAAAUGCGUAGAUAUCAGGAGGAAUACCGGUGGCGAAAGCGACUCUCUGGACGGCAACUGACGCUGAGGCACGAAAGCGUGGGGAGCAAACAGG
RNAcentral lists this ribosomal RNA (253 nucleotides) under uncultured bacterium. RNAcentral's name for it is "partial 16S ribosomal RNA". It matches the Rfam family "Bacterial small subunit ribosomal RNA", at positions 524 to 776 of the family's 1533-position model. The record is from RNAcentral.